RNAcentral lists this long non-coding RNA (395 nucleotides) under Homo sapiens (human). Its description in RNAcentral is "non-protein coding lnc-ICE1-2:1". The record is from RNAcentral. Lineage: Eukaryota; Metazoa; Chordata; Mammalia; Primates; Hominidae.
AGGACCUUCUGAUUUAGAGUUGUCUGUUUGAACUGGAUGGUUGAAGCCAUGUGAACGAAUGAGAACUACAAAAGGGAAGAGUGAGAAGUGCAGAGACUGAGAAUUCCACAUCAACAGUAUAGUUGGUAGAGGGAACCCAGUAGGAAAGAACUGUGUGAGAAGGGAGGCAGUGCUGAGUGAUGCCAAAGACUACAGAGAGAAGAGGUGAAAUGAAGACUAAGCACAAGCCAUGGGCUGGUCAGAAGUGGACUUGAGAGCUGAGCUGCAGGGUCACCCUCAAUGCAGUGCUUGUGGAUGAGAAGAAAGUCAGAUGGAGCCUUGUUGAUGAGAAGGAAUGAGAAGCUGGAACUGUCUGAGCCAUAUGCUAAGAAGCAACACCUUCUAGCACAAGUACC